RNAcentral lists this ribosomal RNA (387 nucleotides) under uncultured bacterium. RNAcentral describes it as "bacterial SSU rRNA". It matches the Rfam family "Bacterial small subunit ribosomal RNA", at positions 28 to 417 of the family's 1533-position model. The record is from RNAcentral.
GACGAGCGCUGGCGGCGUGCUUAACACAUGCAAGUCGAGCGGUAAGGCCCUUUCGGGGGUACACGAGCGGCGAACGGGUGAGUAACACGUGGGUGACCUGCCCUUAGCUCUGGGAUAAGCCUGGGAAACUGGGUCUAAUACCGGAUAUGACUCCAUGACGCAUGUUGUGGGGUGGAAAGCCUUGUGCGGCUAGGGAUGGGCCCGCGGCCUAUCAGCUUGUUGGUGGGGUGAUGGCCACCAAGGCGACGACGGGUAGCCGGCCUGAGAGGGCGACCGGCCACACUGGGACUGAGACACGGCCCAGACUCCUACGGGAGGCAGCAGUGGGGAAUCUUGCGCAAUGGGCGAAAGCCUGACGCAGCGACGCCGCGUGAGGGAUGACGGCCU